GCACCAAUAGCUCAGUUGGUUAGAGCUACCGGCUCAUAACCGGUCGGUCCGGGGUUCGAGUCCCUGUUGGUGCACCA
RNAcentral lists this transfer RNA (77 nucleotides) under Oscillospiraceae bacterium. Its description in RNAcentral is "tRNA-Ile". It matches the Rfam family "tRNA". Rfam says of the family: Transfer RNA (tRNA) molecules are approximately 80 nucleotides in length. Their secondary structure includes four short double-helical elements and three loops (D, anti-codon, and T loops). Lineage: Bacteria; Bacillati; Bacillota; Clostridia; Eubacteriales; Oscillospiraceae. The record is from RNAcentral.